AGACAGACAGACAGGGACACACACACGGACACAGCCAGACACCGGAUAAAUGCUCACAACUGCACACACAACCGUCGCACUCUUUCCCACGCGUUACUGGGGUGUGUGAGCGCCACCCGCACCCCCACUCCGGAUCCCCCGUUCACACAGCAGCUGGUGUCAUUCCGCAGUCACACUCUCUCUCUCCCUGAAGCCCAGUCGGUGACUUUGGGGUUCUUUAGCUCCCCCAUUACAGACAUGCGGGGAUCUCUGUGGCUGUUUCUCUGUGCGCUGCCGCUGUUCCCAGGUUCGGUGGCUGGGAACUCGCUGACCCAGAUCCCGGCUUCUCUGUCAGCCACGGAAGGGCAACGGGUGGAGAUAAGAUGUCAAUACAGCACCUCCUACAGCAGCUACGCCCUGGACUGGUACCAGGAGAGGCCAGGGAAGGAACCCCUCUUCCUGCUGGGAAGAUACUCCUAUGGCUCGGAGCGCAAAUCCGAUUCUGUGGCCCCUCGGUUCUCGGCGCAGCUGGACACCGGAGCGAAGUCUCUCACGCUGUCCAUAGACGGGGCGCAGCGGGCUGACUCGGCGGUGUAUUUCUGCACUCUCUGGGAUCCACCGUGCUACAGAGCGCCCUGGGCUCCCGACACAAACUGCCGGAGGGGGCGGCAGGUGUCUGAAAGGCGGUGA
Chelonia mydas (Green sea turtle) is the source of this 669-nucleotide non-coding RNA. NCBI's taxonomy places the organism in Eukaryota, Metazoa, Chordata, Testudines, Cheloniidae. The record is from the annotation of a RefSeq genome assembly.